UACGUGAGGGGCGAACGUUGUUCGGAAUUACUGGGCGUAAAGGGUUUGUAGGUGGUCUGCUAAGUCAGACGUGAAAUCCCUCAGCUUAACUGGGGAACUGCGUCUGAUACUGGCGGACUUGAGGACAGGAGAGGAACGCGGAAUUCCAGGUGUAGCGGUGAAAUGCGUAGAUAUCUGGAGGAACACCGGUGGCGAAGGCGGCGUUCUGGACUGUUUCUGACACUGAAAAACGAAAGCCAGGGGAGCAAACGGG
RNAcentral lists this ribosomal RNA (253 nucleotides) under uncultured bacterium. RNAcentral describes it as "partial 16S ribosomal RNA". It matches the Rfam family "Bacterial small subunit ribosomal RNA", at positions 524 to 776 of the family's 1533-position model. The record is from RNAcentral.